Molecule: transfer RNA, 72 nt
Organism: Ovis aries (sheep)
Lineage: Eukaryota; Metazoa; Chordata; Mammalia; Artiodactyla; Bovidae
Rfam family: tRNA
About the family: Transfer RNA (tRNA) molecules are approximately 80 nucleotides in length. Their secondary structure includes four short double-helical elements and three loops (D, anti-codon, and T loops).
Source: Rfam
UCCCUGGUGGCUCAGCUGGUAAAGAAUCUGCCUGCAAUGCAGGAGACCCAAGUUUGAUUCCUGGGUUGGGAA